AACAGCAGGGGAGUUCGUGCAAUCGGACUGAGAUUAGGCUGUGUCGCCUUGACCCUUUGUACCUGAUGCGGAUCAUACCGACGUAGGAAGCUUAUGAUA
This 99-nucleotide non-coding RNA is filed under the name uncultured Ruminococcus sp. Its description in RNAcentral is "TPP riboswitch (THI element)". The stretch from base 4 to 92 matches the Rfam family "TPP riboswitch aptamer (THI element)", at positions 8 to 91 of the family's 105-position model. From Rfam's summary of the family: Vitamin B(1) in its active form thiamin pyrophosphate (TPP) is an essential coenzyme that is synthesised by coupling of pyrimidine and thiazole moieties in bacteria. The record is from RNAcentral. Lineage: Bacteria; Bacillati; Bacillota; Clostridia; Eubacteriales; Oscillospiraceae.